RNAcentral lists this ribosomal RNA (497 nucleotides) under uncultured bacterium. RNAcentral describes it as "partial 16S ribosomal RNA". It matches the Rfam family "Bacterial small subunit ribosomal RNA", at positions 28 to 507 of the family's 1533-position model. The record is from RNAcentral.
GACGAACGCUGGCGGCGUGCCUAAUACAUGCAAGUUGAGCGCUGAAGGUUGGUACUUGUACCAACUGGAUGAGCAGCGGACGGGUGAGUAAUGCGUGGGGAAUCUGCCUUUGAGCGGGGGACAGCAUAAGGAAACGAAUGCUAACAUCGCAUAAGAACGUUAAACACAAGUUUCAUGUUUGAAAGAUGCAAUUGCAUCACCCAAAGAUGAUCCCGCGUUGUGUUGGCUAGUUGGGGAGGUAAAGGCUCACCAAGGCGAUGAUACAUAGCCGACCUGGGAGGGAGAUCGGCCACAUUGGGACUGGGACACGGCCCAAACUCCUACGGGAGGCAGCAGUAGGGAAUCUUCGGCAAUGGACGGAAGUCUGACCGAGCAACGCCGCGUGGGUGAAGAAGGUUUUCGGAUCGUAAAACUCUGUUGGGAGGGAAGAACGGUGGUGAGGGUGGAAAGCUCAUCAAGUGACGGUAACUACCCAAAAAGGAACGGCUAACUACGUG